RNAcentral lists this ribosomal RNA (498 nucleotides) under uncultured bacterium. RNAcentral describes it as "partial 16S ribosomal RNA". It matches the Rfam family "Bacterial small subunit ribosomal RNA", at positions 30 to 523 of the family's 1533-position model. The record is from RNAcentral.
AUUGAACGCUAGCGGCAGGCCUAAUACAUGCAAGUCGGACGGGAUUUGGGAGCUUGCUCCCAAUGAGAGUGGCGCACGGGUGCGUAACACGUAUGUAACCUACCUUAAUCAGGGGGAUAGCCUCUCGAAAGAGAGAUUAACACCGCAUAAUAUAUUUUUAUGGCAUCGUAGAAAUAUCAAAUAUUUAUAGGAUUAAGAUGGGCAUGCGGAACAUUAGCUAGUUGGUAAGGUAACGGCUUACCAAGGCUACGAUGUUUAGGGGAUCUGAGAGGAUGACCCCCCACACUGGUACUGAGACACGGACCAGACUCCUACGGGAGGCAGCAGUAAGGAAUAUUGGUCAAUGGGCGCAAGCCUGAACCAGCCAUGCCGCGUGCAGGAAGACGGCCCUAUGGGUUGUAAACUGCUUUUGUACCGGAAUAAACCCUUUUACGUGUAAAAGGCUGAAUGUACGGUAAGAAUAAGGAUCGGCUAACUCCGUGCCAGCCGCCGCGGUAA